GGGCGGUUGGCUCAGUUGGUAGAGCAGUUGACUUUUAAUCAAUUGGUCGCAGGUUCGAAUCCUGCACGACCCACCA
Molecule: transfer RNA, 76 nt
Filed under: Escherichia coli
Lineage: Bacteria; Pseudomonadati; Pseudomonadota; Gammaproteobacteria; Enterobacterales; Enterobacteriaceae
Description: tRNA-Lys
Rfam family: tRNA
About the family: Transfer RNA (tRNA) molecules are approximately 80 nucleotides in length. Their secondary structure includes four short double-helical elements and three loops (D, anti-codon, and T loops).
Source: RNAcentral